This 2088-nucleotide long non-coding RNA is filed under the name Ananas comosus (pineapple). RNAcentral describes it as "long non-coding RNA (ACOM_LNC006113)". Lineage: Eukaryota; Viridiplantae; Streptophyta; Magnoliopsida; Poales; Bromeliaceae. The record is from RNAcentral.
AGGACCGGCAAUUCAGCUUGUUGUGCGUGAGUUAGUUCGUGUUCAACUCGAUAUAUAUAUCUCGAUUUUAUGUAUAUAGUUGCGUUGAAAUGUUUCUGAAGGCAUUAAGACCUUCGCACUUUUAAUUUUUUAGCUUUUGGAUCUAUCUUUCGGUCAUUGAACCGUAAGUCAACAAUGAUUGUUAUUUGUGUGUGUAUAUAUAUAAUACAAUUUUUUACUAUCCGGAUUUUAGACCAACUCAAAUUUAAAGAGAUUUUUAUUUUGUGAAUUUCAAUUAUUAGAUUAAGAUGUUAUAUUUUUAUUCUGUAAAUUUCAAUUAUUAGAUUAGGAUGUUAAAUUUUUAAUUUUCUUCCGGCUUUUCAAUAGUAGUAAUGCCGACAAUCUACCUUGAUGUUCGUGAGUAACCUCGUAUUUAGCUCAUUAAUAAAGAAGCAGAGAAUGAACUGAAUUUUUCAGUUGAAUAUUAAUUUUAACAAGGUAGCUAGUAUCCAACUUGUUGAUAGCCCUAUACAAGAGUCCACACAAUAAUACUAUAUCGAAUAUUAAAUUUUUAUAAUUUUUUUCUACUAAAAAUUAUUAUAUUACUGUUGAUUAGAUUUAUGCAACUUCACAUAUAUACUUUCAUGUGAAAUUAGUGAAGAAGAAAUCCCAUAUGAUAUGAUGUCAAGCCACUCUUAUUCUAUAUGUUAUAUAAGGAAAACUUUAAAUACCAUCCAUGUGGUUUCACACUUUCUCACUGUAAGACCAUAUGAUUUAAAAUGUAUCAAUUUAGUGUCCUGUGGUUUUCUUUUAUCUUUUUAUUAACGGUUCCACUAAUUUUUUCAUUAAAUUAUUAUAAAGGUAAAACUAAAGGAUACUAAAAUGAAUAUUCAAUAAACUUAGGUGCGGUAUCUGAAGUUUUUUUGCAUAUAAUUUAACGAAAUAUUAACGAAAAAGCUGACGAAAAAAUAAAAAUAAAACUAUAUGACACUAACUUAAUUGAUACACUUUAAACCAUAGGGUACUAAAGUGAGAAAGUGUGAAAUCACAUAAAUGGUAUUUGAAGUUUACUCUCUCUCUCUCUCUCUCUCUCUCUCUCUCUCUCUCUCUCUCUCUCUCUCUAUAUAUAUAUAUAUAUAUAGAGUUGAGCUAGAAUACUAUCGAUAGCAAACGGGCUCCGUUACCACCCAUUUAUUUUCGAUGAUGGAGUCUCCAAAUUGACGAUCGGCAUCAUUGAACAUGAUCUAUACUACUUGAAGUGUUUAGAAAUCAAAUUUUAAAUCUUUUCGACAUCAUUUGCCUAAUGAUCAAAGGGUUUCAAAAUUUAUAAUUUUAAUGGUCGAUAUGAGGUGUUUUCUCGUUUAACGGCGUAAAGAUAUCCAAAUCAAUUGAAUUUUUGUUAGAAAAUUCUUUAAACUAUUUAAAACAAGAUCUAUGCUCUUGAUCUUGAUUACAAGAGUCCUAUCAUCAUUUUUUAAAGAAUAUUUGUUUUCAGCUGUUCGUUUUUUUGUCCCCUCGAUGAAUAAAUGAACAAUAUCAAAAAUGUAUUAAAUUUGAUUUUUAAACACUUCAAGUGGUAUAGAUCAUGUUCAAUGGUGCCGAUCGUCGAUUUAAAGGCUCCAUCAUCGAAAACAAAUGGGUGGCAAUGGAGCCCGUUUGCUAUCGAUAGUAUUCUAGCUCAACAAAAUGGGUGGCAACGGAGCCCGUUUGCUAUCGAUAGUAUUCUAGCUCAACACACACACACACUCUCUCUCUCUCUCUCUCUCUCUCUCUCUCUCUCUCUCUAUAUAUAUAUAUAUAUAAAAUUGAGCUCCUAUGCUUUUAAAAGUACCAAGUUAUUGAUCCUUAUAGAUUUUGGUCAUUGAAUUAAAGGAUGUGCGGUUAAGAUGAUGUGGGUCCCCUAGAGUUGAGUGGAUGGUUGGUUGAAUAGUAUAAUCUAACGGUUGAAAAUGAUCAAAAACGUAUAUCUAAUGAUAAAAAAUUUAUAAGUACUAAAUGCUUGGUACUUUUACAAACACAAUUGCCAUGCAUCAUGUCCUUUUCAUAUUUAUCAUGUACAUAAAUACAAAUAUAUAUUAAACAUAUCAAAAAUUUAUUUUUCAUCAAACC